UAAUUUAUGUUUAUAGGUUUAAAAAGAAGAGAGCUGAAGUGGUGGCCGAAAGCAUGACAAUAUUGCAAAAUAUUCACUAUCAAAGGUUGUCAGAGAAGGGUCCGUGACGAUGGUAAUAUCUUUGAUUUGGAGCUUGAAUUUAUGGGCUGUUCUUCUGCGAAGUCCGACAUUCAUAACGACGGUGAAAUUCUCCACUAACCUUCAGUGACUAACAAUCAAAUUCUUAACACGAUCUGCAAAUACACUCUGACAGGUAUCACAUGGUUUUUUGAUCAAACCACACAUAACCGAAACGAUGGUGAUCACAUUUGUACAAAGAUUGUUUACAUCUCGGGUGAUAAGUCCUUUUUGGCCUUUUACAGGUCUGGAAUUAGUAGAAGAGAGAAGAGAAGGUGCAUGACGAAAAGAUGUCAUUUUGGAGCAAUUCUGCGGAGAACACUCAAGUAGAACAGUCCCGAGAAUGUUCUCUCUCAAGCGGAACAAGCAGACGGAGUGAUCCGGAGAUUGUUCCCGACGAAUAUGGAAACUUCUAUUUUGGGAAUUAAAGCCCUGUUGCCCUAAUCUCAUAUCUUCUGAUUGGCGCCUCCAUAUAAAAACGCCAUCUAUCAUUUUAUUAUUGUCUUACGCUAGUUUUACAAGAGAACACUGUGAUAUUGCGAUCUGCAACUUGUAAGGGAGAAGAAUCCAUCCUCUCAUAGAGAAGAUCAUCUGAACCCUUUUGUUUCAUACUAUGUUCUUAUGCAAUUUUAUUCAGGAUUUAUGUCUUUGAUUAUC
Long non-coding RNA from Raphanus sativus (radish), 774 nucleotides. RefSeq lists it as uncharacterized. The record is from RefSeq and is a predicted model, not a curated record. Lineage: Eukaryota; Viridiplantae; Streptophyta; Magnoliopsida; Brassicales; Brassicaceae. The transcript is spliced from 4 exons.